GCCCACGUAGCUCAGUCGGCAGAGCGCGCCCUUGGUAAGGGCGAGGUCUCCGGUUCGAUUCCGGUCGUGGGCUCCA
Molecule: transfer RNA, 76 nt
Filed under: bacterium
Lineage: Bacteria
Description: tRNA-Thr
Rfam family: tRNA
About the family: Transfer RNA (tRNA) molecules are approximately 80 nucleotides in length. Their secondary structure includes four short double-helical elements and three loops (D, anti-codon, and T loops).
Source: RNAcentral